Molecule: ribosomal RNA, 468 nt
Filed under: uncultured bacterium
Lineage: Bacteria
Description: partial 16S ribosomal RNA
Rfam family: Bacterial small subunit ribosomal RNA
Source: RNAcentral
GACGAACGCUGGCGGCGUGCUUAACACAUGCAAGUCGAACGGAAAGGCCCUGCUUUUGUGGGGUGCUCGUGUGGCGAACGGGUGAGUAACACGUGAGUAACCUGCCCUUGACUUUGGGAUAACUUCAGGAAACUGGGGCUAAUACCGGAUAGGAGCUCCUGCUGCAUGGUGGGGGUUGGAAAGUUUCGGCGGUUGGGGAUGGACUCGCGGCUUAUCAGCUUGUUGGUGGGGUAGUGGCUUACCAAGGCUUUGACGGGUAGCCGGCCUGAGAGGGUGACCGGCCACAUUGGGACUGAGAUACGGCCCAGACUCCUACGGGAGGCAGCAGUGGGGAAUAUUGCACAAUGGGCGGAAGCCUGAUGCAGCAACGCCGCGUGCGGGAUGACGGCCUUCGGGUUGUAAACCGCUUUCGCCUGUGACGAAGCGUGAGUGACGGUAAUGGGUAAAGAAGCACCAGCUAACUACGUG